RNAcentral lists this ribosomal RNA (2929 nucleotides) under Salmonella enterica subsp. enterica serovar Albany. RNAcentral describes it as "23S ribosomal RNA". It matches the Rfam family "Bacterial large subunit ribosomal RNA". The record is from RNAcentral. Lineage: Bacteria; Pseudomonadati; Pseudomonadota; Gammaproteobacteria; Enterobacterales; Enterobacteriaceae. RNAcentral also lists the same sequence under 1 other name.
GGGUUGUGAGGUUAAGCGACUAAGCGUACACGGUGGAUGCCCUGGCAGUCAGAGGCGAUGAAGGGCGUGCUAAUCUGCGAUAAGCGCCGGUAAGGUGAUAUGAACCGUUAUAACCGGCGAUACCCGAAUGGGGAAACCCAGUGUGACUCGUCACACUAUCAUUAACUGAAUCCAUAGGUUAAUGAGGCGAACCGGGGGAACUGAAACAUCUAAGUACCCCGAGGAAAAGAAAUCAACCGAGAUUCCCCCAGUAGCGGCGAGCGAACGGGGAGGAGCCCAGAGCCUGAAUCAGCAUGUGUGUUAGUGGAAGCGUCUGGAAAGGCGCGCGAUACAGGGUGACAGCCCCGUACACAAAAGCGCAUGUGCUGUGAGCUCGAUGAGUAGGGCGGGACACGUGGUAUCCUGUCUGAAUAUGGGGGGACCAUCCUCCAAGGCUAAAUACUCCUGACUGACCGAUAGUGAACCAGUACCGUGAGGGAAAGGCGAAAAGAACCCCGGCGAGGGGAGUGAAAAAGAACCUGAAACCGUGUACGUACAAGCAGUGGGAGCACAGGUUUACCUGUGUGACUGCGUACCUUUUGUAUAAUGGGUCAGCGACUUAUAUUCUGUAGCAAGGUUAACCGAAUAGGGGAGCCGGAGGGAAACCGAGUCUUAACCGGGCGUUAAGUUGCAGGGUAUAGACCCGAAACCCGGUGAUCUAGCCAUGGGCAGGUUGAAGGUUGGGUAACACUAACUGGAGGACCGAACCGACUAAUGUUGAAAAAUUAGCGGAUGACCUGUGGCUGGGGGUGAAAGGCCAAUCAAACCGGGAGAUAGCUGGUUCUCCCCGAAAGCUAUUUAGGUAGCGCCUCGUGAAUUCAUCUCCGGGGGUAGAGCACUGUUUCGGCUAGGGGGCCAUCCCGGCUUACCAACCCGAUGCAAACUGCGAAUACCGGAGAAUGUUAUCACGGGAGACACACGGCGGGUGCUAACGUCCGUCGUGAAGAGGGAAACAACCCAGACCGCCAGCUAAGGUCCCAAAGUCAUGGUUAAGUGGGAAACGAUGUGGGAAGGCCCAGACAGCCAGGAUGUUGGCUUAGAAGCAGCCAUCAUUUAAAGAAAGCGUAAUAGCUCACUGGUCGAGUCGGCCUGCGCGGAAGAUGUAACGGGGCUAAACCAUGCACCGAAGCUGCGGCAGCGACGCUUAUGCGUUGUUGGGUAGGGGAGCGUUCUGUAAGCCUGUGAAGGUGGCCUGUGAGGGUUGCUGGAGGUAUCAGAAGUGCGAAUGCUGACAUAAGUAACGAUAAAGCGGGUGAAAAGCCCGCUCGCCGGAAGACCAAGGGUUCCUGUCCAACGUUAAUCGGGGCAGGGUGAGUCGACCCCUAAGGCGAGGCCGAAAGGCGUAGUCGAUGGGAAACGGGUUAAUAUUCCCGUACUUGGUGUUACUGCGAAGGGGGGACGGAGAAGGCUAUGUUGGCCGGGCGACGGUUGUCCCGGUUUAAGCGUGUAGGUGUGUGUUCCAGGUAAAUCCGGUUCACUUUAACACUGAGGCGUGACGACGAGGCACUACGGUGCUGAAGCAACAAAUGCCCUGCUUCCAGGAAAAGCCUCUAAGCAUCAGGUAACAUCAAAUCGUACCCCAAACCGACACAGGUGGUCAGGUAGAGAAUACCAAGGCGCUUGAGAGAACUCGGGUGAAGGAACUAGGCAAAAUGGUGCCGUAACUUCGGGAGAAGGCACGCUGACACGUAGGUGAAGUGAUUUACUCAUGGAGCUGAAGUCAGUCGAAGAUACCAGCUGGCUGCAACUGUUUAUUAAAAACACAGCACUGUGCAAACACGAAAGUGGACGUAUACGGUGUGACGCCUGCCCGGUGCCGGAAGGUUAAUUGAUGGGGUCAGCGCAAGCGAAGCUCCUGAUCGAAGCCCCGGUAAACGGCGGCCGUAACUAUAACGGUCCUAAGGUAGCGAAAUUCCUUGUCGGGUAAGUUCCGACCUGCACGAAUGGCGUAAUGAUGGCCAGGCUGUCUCCACCCGAGACUCAGUGAAAUUGAACUCGCUGUGAAGAUGCAGUGUACCCGCGGCAAGACGGAAAGACCCCGUGAACCUUUACUAUAGCUUGACACUGAACAUUGAGCCUUGAUGUGUAGGAUAGGUGGGAGGCUUUGAAGUGUGGACGCCAGUCUGCAUGGAGCCGACCUUGAAAUACCACCCUUUAAUGUUUGAUGUUCUAACGUGGACCCGUAAUCCGGGUUGCGGACAGUGUCUGGUGGGUAGUUUGACUGGGGCGGUCUCCUCCUAAAGAGUAACGGAGGAGCACGAAGGUUGGCUAAUCCUGGUCGGACAUCAGGAGGUUAGUGCAAUGGCAUAAGCCAGCUUGACUGCGAGCGUGACGGCGCGAGCAGGUGCGAAAGCAGGUCAUAGUGAUCCGGUGGUUCUGAAUGGAAGGGCCAUCGCUCAACGGAUAAAAGGUACUCCGGGGAUAACAGGCUGAUACCGCCCAAGAGUUCAUAUCGACGGCGGUGUUUGGCACCUCGAUGUCGGCUCAUCACAUCCUGGGGCUGAAGUAGGUCCCAAGGGUAUGGCUGUUCGCCAUUUAAAGUGGUACGCGAGCUGGGUUUAGAACGUCGUGAGACAGUUCGGUCCCUAUCUGCCGUGGGCGCUGGAGAACUGAGGGGGGCUGCUCCUAGUACGAGAGGACCGGAGUGGACGCAUCACUGGUGUUCGGGUUGUCAUGCCAAUGGCACUGCCCGGUAGCUAAAUGCGGAAGAGAUAAGUGCUGAAAGCAUCUAAGCACGAAACUUGCCCCGAGAUGAGUUCUCCCUGAGACUUAGAGUCUCCUGAAGGAACGUUGAAGACGACGACGUUGAUAGGCCGGGUGUGUAAGCGCAGCGAUGCGUUGAGCUAACCGGUACUAAUGAACCGUGAGGCUUAACCUUACAACGCCGAAG